This is a long non-coding RNA of Gadus chalcogrammus (walleye pollock), 566 nucleotides long. RefSeq lists it as uncharacterized. The transcript has 3 exons. The record is from RefSeq and is a predicted model, not a curated record. Lineage: Eukaryota; Metazoa; Chordata; Actinopteri; Gadiformes; Gadidae.
UUAGUUUAUUCCAGUGAUUUCUGAACGGUUGUCACCUAAUAUUCCUGUUGACAGUGUACCUAACCUCCAAACUCUUUACAAGAGUUCGAUCUGUGGCUUUCAGUUCGACGUUCACUACAAACGUACCUGUUUCUGAAUGGAAUCUAAAACUAAAGACUUUUAUUUGUGAUUUGAUUUGAUGAGCUUAUUAUUUGGAUUCGUUUUUUGGACACUUCAAGACAAGAAAAUACAUUUUUCAGCAAGAUAAAGAUAAGGUGGAAUGGGUGGGCGGAGCCAGACGCUGGGAGCUCUAUGGCUCCUACUCAGUCUGACUCAGCAGGACUUUGCAGAGAUUGCAAAAGAAGAGUGGAAAGAUCUGAGCCAUGACAUCACUGCGUUGCUUAACCUGAGGGGACUACCAGACCGCAUGACCCAUCGCAGCCUGCUACCAGCCUUCCAGAACGUAGGCCUGUCACCCUCGCUACAGAUAGGCUUGUCUCUCUUGUUUCUUUCUUUCUUUCUUUCUUUCUUUCUUUCUUUCUUUCUUUCUUUCUUUCUUUCUUUCUUUCUUUCUUUCUUUCUUUCUU